This 312-nucleotide ribosomal RNA is filed under the name Triticum aestivum (bread wheat). RNAcentral's name for it is "partial small subunit ribosomal RNA". Lineage: Eukaryota; Viridiplantae; Streptophyta; Magnoliopsida; Poales; Poaceae. The record is from RNAcentral.
AUGCGCAGGGAACGGGUCAGCAGAGGAGUCCAGGCGGUGGCGCCCGGCGAGCGUCUGGUCCACGAGCGACGGCGGUGGCGGACUGGCAGUCCACAGGCGAUUGGCCAAGGAAGGAGAGGGCCAGAGGGGGAGAGAGAGGAAGGGGAGGAGGACGCCGGCACGGUGGAGCAGGAGGGAAGCCUGUCGCUGGACGUGGACUCGUCGCAAGCUGCGCUGCGGCGGCGAGCCGGCCGGCAACCGACGGCUUUUGGUCGCGGCAAGCAGGCUCGCAUUCGUCCCCUGUUGCUCACAAAUGGUGGUAGCAAAAAUUAA